Long non-coding RNA from Hemicordylus capensis (graceful crag lizard), 4950 nucleotides. RefSeq lists it as uncharacterized. Lineage: Eukaryota; Metazoa; Chordata; Lepidosauria; Squamata; Cordylidae. The transcript has 7 exons. The record is from RefSeq and is a predicted model, not a curated record.
AGGAACCAGGGCUUUUCAGUUGGCAUUCCGUGUCAUUCAUUUUAGUACAUUCCCUAGAGCAUCUGCUUUGCAUGAAGAAGGUCCCAGGUUCCCUCCCUGGCAGCAUCUCCAAGAUCAGACUGAGAGAGAUUCCUGCCUGAAUUCUUGGAGAAGCCACUGCCAGUCUGUGUAGACAAUACUGAGCUAGGUGGCCCAAUGGUCUGACUCGGAAUAAGGCAGCUUCCUAUGUGCCUGAGUUGGUUAUCAACUUUGCAAGUAGGUUCCACACGAUGUGUGGCCUCAGCUCCCCUCCUCCCCAUCUGCAAUAUGCACUGACUUACCCUACAGGAUUGUUGCAACCAUUACUGGAAUAAAUGCAUGUGAAGUAUUCUGAAAGCUCUUGAGUGCUGUCUAAAGGCUAAGAGUAAUUACUUUCUGAAUUCUCUUUAACCUGCAGGAACGUCCAGCUCUGUCAGUCUGGAGCACUAGUUCUUGUACGAGCAGAAGAUCACUCUGAUGUAUAUCUUGAGGGUUGGUUUUCUUUUUGCAUGAGAGUAAAUUCCCCAAAGCUUACAAUGAGAAAUGGGAUCUUAUUCUGCAGUGUAGGAUGGCUGGCUCCAAACCAGAAAAGAAAAGAGGCCAGCCUCACAAAGUGCUGAGGAAAACUGUAUGUUGCGUUUACAAAAUCGUUCCCAUUUUCCAUUGUUGUGCCUAAUGACUUUCAAGCAUUGCAACUCCUCGUCAGAGGCAAGAGUCACUUCUUGUCUCCUGAAUGAGGUGUUUCUUUGUCCUUUGGGGAUGCCACUGAUGCCUGUGUGGCAGGUGCAUUCCUAAUGAUGUUAGGGGAAAAGCAAUGUCAGCCAUGGCAUCAUCAUUAUCCAGUGUUCCUCUGUCUCCUGCAAAUGGGGAAAUACCCAAUAUAAGGAUGUCAGGUCAUAUAUUUCCUUUACUAGAAGCCCUAUUCACACAUUAUGUUCACCAUUCACAGAGGUGCCCCUAGGUAAUUUUGGAGCCUGGACCUAAAAGCCUUUGGAGACACCACCACCCCCGCCUCCCUGCAAGUUAAGCAUCACCCACACAACCACACCAUGACAUACGUGGUAUUUUUAACCCAUGGGUUCUUGGGGGCACAAACAGCAACUGAACUCACAAGAAUGUAAGAAUAUAAAAAAGGUGUGUUUAUGCAAAUAUGCAUUAGCAGAAACAUUUCCACAUGCAACUUAACAACAUAUUCCCAUUCCACAUAUUUCUUUCCCCACUUCCCAAUACGCAGCCACCCAGCGCAGGUCACAGUCGCCACCUGGCACAGUGUGGGACAGUGGCAUGGCGUGGUGUGGCAUAACACAGUGGAGCAACCACACCACCCGGGACAGACUAAAGAGGAUUUGGGGGGGCCCAGGGACUUUCAGAACUGGACUUCAGGGGAAGAGCACCUCUGAACACUCAUCAAGCUUGCCCUACACAGACGUUAUGAAUACGAUACUCUCAAAGUUGUUGGAAAUUCUCUGUGGUGAGAGAAUCCCUUUCUCAUUAUAGCAGAGUGCACAGAGGCACAGCACAGCGGAAAUUUAGUUAGGCAUGCGUGUAUGCUGAGAGUAAAAUAACUUGGAGCCAAUUCAUAGUUUCAAAUCAAUAUAAAAGGCAUUUAUUAAGGAACUCCAUUCUAGAUAGGAAAGUGAGGAGUUAGGAUCUCUAAUCUAUCUAUCUAGCUGGAUGCAGAUGGAUUCUGCAUCCUCUCUGCACAUAUGGUGCAGGGAGAGAGGCUUGCCAUGUUGCAAGGUAGAGGGGCAGGUAGGAAGAAGAGAGAGGAAGGAGGAAGUUGAAUCCCUAAGAGUAGCAAUCUACAUUUCAAAGGGAUAGCAUCAGAGCAGUGGAGAAGUGAUGACCAAUGUCUUGACUCUCUAGCCCUCUGACUUACUAGUCUGUCCUCCACUGUCUGAGACAAAGAGAAAGCACAAAGUCCUUUAACUUCCAACAGAAGUAUCUUCUACAGUGUCGAAAGUGGGUCUAGACGUCCCUGCCCUGGUACAUCAGUCAUCCCCUGAACACCACCGCACCACCGUAAAUCCCCUGCUAACUGAGCAAAGAGACACCUUUUAAAGUGGCAAUUCUCUUAUACUUAGCAGGGGCAGAGCCACUGGUCCUAUCCAACUCCAGCACAGCAUCCCACUUGUGGCUGUUGCUGCUUCCUAUCAUUUGUUUCUUUUUAGACUGUGAGCCCUUUGGGGACAGGGAGCCAUCUCAUUUAUGUAUUUUUUGAUGUAAACUGCUUUUGUUGAAGAGCGGUAUAUAAAUAGUUGUUGUCGUCGUAAGCAUGAAGAGCAUGGCAGCAAGGAUGAUUGACGCACCAGGGCAGGACUUCUGGUCCUGCUUUUAACACUGUAAACAUAUUCAAAGUAUUUUUCAAAGCAUCUGUGUUGGGCUUCUGCGCAUGAUGGCCACAGGCACAAAUCUGUACACAGGUUAGGUUGAAUGCAGGUACACUUCCUAUCUGUAUCCUGCAUUUCAGGGGCCUGUACUCAGGUUCACUUUUAAUAAAACGGUGGUACAUAUGCUGGUAACCUCUAGGCUGGAUUACUGCAAUGCGCUCUAUGUGGGGCUGCCUUUGUUCAUAAUCUGGAAACUGCAGUUGGUUCAGAAUGCAGCAGCCAGAUUGGUCUCUGGGUCAUCUAGGAGAGACCAUAUUACUUCUGUGUUGAAGGAACUACACUGGCUGCCGAUACGUUUCCGGGCAAAAUGCAAGGUGCUGGUUAUAACCUAUAAAGCCCUAAACAGCUUAGGCCCUGGGUAGUGAAGAGAACGUCUCCUUCACCAUGAGCCCCACCGCCUGCUAAGAUCAUCUGGAGAGGUUCGUCUGCAGUUGCCACCAACUCAUUUGGCAGCUACUCGGGAAUGGACCUUCUCCGUUGCUGCUCCUGGACUUUGGAAUGCGCUUCCUGUUGAAAUAAGAUCCUCCCCCAUCUCUGGCAACUUUUAAAAAGGCACUGAAGACACAUUUAUUCACCAGGCUUUUAAUUAGAUUUAUAGUUUUAAUAGUUUUAAUAUUUGGUUUUAAAUGUUUUCAGUGUUUUCAGUGAUUUUAAUUGUGAAUUGAUUUGAUGUUUUCAAUGAUUUUAUUGUAAACCGCCCAGAGACGCAAGUUUUGGGUGCAGGCCCAUAGCCCGCUGGUGGCAUGGUGUGCACCUGCGACACCAAAAAAUUCUCUUUCCUCCCCAGCCUCACUGACUGUUUUCACUGAACAUUUUAUAACCUACCUUCUGCAAUCCCACCCCCAAAAUGUUGGGGCUGUCUGCAGCCAAAUUGGGUGGUAUAGAAAUUUUUUUAAAAAUAAAAUAAAAUAUAAAAUAAAAUAAAAUAAAAUAAAUACAGGUACAGUCAUUCACACAAAAGCAUGCCAGAGUGUACAGACAUCUGGAGGCAGGUACAACAUAAUGUCUGCAUAGAGCUUAGUUAUUGGGGUACCACUUGGGGAGUCACACAUUCCCCAUAGCAUCUCAUUAGGCCCAAGAUCUUUUAGGCCAAUUCAGAGCAGAUUUCUGCCAAGUGAAAGUAUAGUAAGAACAGACCAUGUUGAAAUGUUAUUGGCAAAGGAUGGGGGAAGCCUGCUUGGUAGUUAUCCAACGGUGCAUUUAGAACAGAAGAGAAGACAUUAACAAGGGUGAAUCUGCAUUGAUGAUGUGCAAAUCAGAAACACAAGUCUGUUGUGUCUGCAGCAUACCCACACAUGAGGGGAAGGCAGAGACAACCUUCCAAGUCCUGAGAUGUAUGCGUCGUUAACCUUUUUCUCUCUCUGGUGGAAUUGAGCAUAUUUAGUCCAUGUUGUUUUCCCAGCUGCUUCUGAACAUCUAUAUUUGUUUUCAGGGACAAUUUGCUUAUUCAUCUCAUUGCAGCGUUGCCACUCUGAUCCUUUUCUCACACCAGUUUUCUUCUCUUCUCUUUUCUUUUCUUCGAGCACAAGCAAAGGGCAUUUAACACCCAGAGAAAUUUCCAUCUUCUGCAUCAGAUGAUCUCCAUGACCUUUAAGCGAGUUGCCGCCUGGUUGACGCAUGGAGUCAAGACAGAUGGCAGAGUCCAUAUAGCAGAAGGAUACAAAAUACUGCUCAAUGUGGGACCCCUUCUCUCUCCCUCCCCUCUGUGCUGCUUCCCAAAUGUCUGACUGAAUGCUCCAGUGAGGAAUUGAAAAGCUCCUGUUUAGGCAUCUGGGGUUUAAAGCAAUGGGCUCCUUCAUUUCCCUGCCAGAAAUUCUCCAGAAGUUCUCCCUUGGCAAAAUGGCUCUUGUUUAAAAGCACUAGAAACACAGCAGGCAUUAUCCAGAAUGCAGAGGCAACACAGAAUGAAAAAGGGGCAAAGAAGUGCUCAUGGGGAUCCACAAAAGCAGGGAGCUUUAGUCUGCACGUAUAUGCAGAUAUUGAGAUUGUGUGUGAACGGCCAUGCAGGACAUCAACAUGCCCAGGCUGUGCGUGGACCAGACAAGGAGUCAUCAUUUGAGGAGCUUCUUCUAGAGAAACACGAGGCUAGUGCUAAUAAAAUAUGGAGCCACCACAACCCAAAGGAAGGCUACAGCACCUUCCUUACAAGAGGGAAGCAGGUGGCAACACUGAUCAGCAGCACCAUCAGAUGCACUUCAGCAAAGUCAAUGAGAUUUGCAGCAUUUACAGGGAAUGGUGAGGAUCGGGGCCCGUCUCCUCCAAUUAAGCAGCUCUGCUAUUCAUUAAUUCAUUUGUGGCUGAGGAUGGCGAGAGAUGUCGUUCGUCAGCAUCUGGAGUACCACCAGUUGGGAACCACUAGUCUAAGAGAGAGAUGGAUCUGGACAGAGAGAUAAUUCCUCCUCCUCAGAAGUAUGUUCUGUUCUGCCCGAGGAAGAAGCUGAUGAGAACUAAAGAACCAGUUGAUGAGAAAUGAAAUUAAGAUGCAUCAGAUUUUUCAGCUGACACAAUAAGGGGGGAAACACCCAACUGUCUGUACCUCAUG